This 227-nucleotide ribosomal RNA is filed under the name uncultured bacterium. RNAcentral describes it as "partial 16S ribosomal RNA". It matches the Rfam family "Bacterial small subunit ribosomal RNA", at positions 113 to 334 of the family's 1533-position model. The record is from RNAcentral.
CGACGUAAAGAACCUGCCUCAUAGACUGGGACAACUAUUGGAAACGAUAGCUAAUACCGGAUAACAGCAUUAACUGCAUGGUUGAUGUUUAAAAGUUGGUUUUGCUAACACUAUGAGAUGGCUUUGCGGUGCAUUAGCUAGUUGGUGGGGUAAAGGCCUACCAAGGCGACGAUGCAUAGCCGACCUGAGAGGGUGAUCGGCCACACUGGGACUGAGACACGGCCCAG